AGAUGGGUGGGGCUGCUCCUGCACACAGGAUGCCCUCUUGGUCCUUCAGAAUCAUGAGACUUAGCUUGGCUGCCUAUGGCUGCCUACCUCGUGGUACACAAAUGAAUAUAGUUAGUUGUCACGCAUGUCAUUAGAGCUAGAGCACAUGUCAUUUGCAGCCAUGAGACAAAGAGAGAGAAAGACGAGGUGUACCCUGCCGGGGCGACUCGCCCCUGUCGACUGUCUCCUUGUACCUUUUGAUAACUACUCAACGCUGCACAGCACAGGAUUCAGCAUUCAAUCACUCUUAUAAUUUUAUUGUCAUUUCAUCUUUUAUGGGGGACGCCCCACUCUUAAUUUUUAUCACUGCUGACGUACGUAUAUAUAAGAGCACUACAAGAUACGACAGGAAACCUUCCAGGCCGCAACAUAGAAUGCUGGCUUUCUGAUCGAGGAGGAUUAUUGGCCGGGGAUGGAGUGGAUCUACCUCUGAGAGACAAAGGGCCAGUUACUGUAUCAUGCGAUUUUCUGACAGGAAAGGCUACUCUAAACAGAGGGAGUCGGCCACACAAGGUAUAGUCUAAUAAUUAUUGUACAGUACUAGAUGAUCUUCUCUGUUUUGGGUCAGAUGCAAUUGCCUUGAAUCACUAGCCAGUUUAAAACAUUUCUUCUACUCUUGGCUUAAGAAAUUGUAUUUUAUUAUUGUACCAGCAUUAGGUAGUUAACUCCACUUAUGCAUUGACCUCUACUACCGUGUAGCGGGAAAUUUCGUUAUUUGAGCACUCGAGAAAUGUUGUAUAGUUGUUCACAUUUCAAUGCCAGGAAACCAUAGCUUUGCAUGUGAAAUACUGGUGCGUGGGAGUGUCUUCCAUUUAUAUUACAUGAAGUGUGAAGUGUGUUGUAAGUUUGUACAGAGAGGACUCCCAUGGUGGCAAUGAUCUGAUGAUGGCUCCACUGCUCUGAUGGACCAAUGCAGGAGAAGUUAUUCUGUAUAAUUAUUACACUAAAUUAAUGUAUGCCACUGUUUGGAUCGGUUUCUGUUCUGCUCAGCUUCUUCCUCCAACUUGCUUACGCAGGCUAAGCUUAUUCUUAAUUAGUUCAUUCUUAGUUCAUUCUAUAGUCUAGUAUUAUUGUCGGUUUGGUUGUUUUAUGUUUUUCACCUGGUCAUACGGAAUCACUUCAUUAAUUUUUAUACAGUGCAGACCACACCUCUAUCCACACAUUGUACCUGCACAUCCUGUAUAUAUGGGGCCACACCCCCACUCACUGUACUGAUAUGUGGUCACACCCCCAUACAUGGUAACCCUCUUGACCACACCCCCACCCAUGCAUUGUGUCGUACAUGCUGUGUUUUUGUGUACAGUACACACAUCAUCCGUGUCUUUGUCCCCACACCUAGUCGGAGGGACAGCAAGUUCUACUAAGAGCCAGCAUCACCAACUAACCAACACACUACAAGACCUACCUACUACCAGCUAGGACAGCACACCACCCGGGACAGACUCUACUAUACCAUGUAAUACGCCUUUGUAUUACGAUCAUGAUACAAUUUGCUGCCCUCCCUCGCCCAUGGAUUGAAUAAUUAUGGACGAGACUGACACACAAUAAUAGACACCAAAGGGCCAGUUACUGUAUCAUGUACGAAUAUUCUGUUGCUUGUACAUUUCGUAACAUUAUCAGUAAUUGACUGUAGAGUAGCUCCCCUUUCUUCAUCACUCAAUGCAGGCAGUGUAUGUGAUUUUCUGACAGGAAAGGCUACUCUAAACAGAGGGAGUCGGCCACACAAGGUAUAGUCUAAUAAUUAUUGUACGGUACUUAGGGUCAGAUGCAAUUGCCUUCAAUCACUAGCCAGUUUAAAACAUUUCUUCUACUCUUGGCUUAAGAAGUUGUAUUUUAUUAUUGUACCAGUAUUAGGUAGUUAACUCCACUUAUGCAUUGACCUCUACUACUGUGUAGCGGGAAAGUUCAUUAUUUGAGCCCUCGAGAAAUGCUGUAUAGUUGUUCUCAUUUCAAUGCCAGGAAACCAUAGCUUUGCAUGGUGCGUGGGAGUGUCUUCUAUUUUUAUUACAUGAAGUGUGAAGUGUGUUGUAAGUUUGUACAGACCCAUGGUCUGAUGAUGGCUCCACUGCUCUGAUGGACCAAUGCAGGAGAAGUUAUUCUGUAUGAUUAUUACACUAAAUUAAUGUAUGCCACUGUUUGGAUCGGUUUCUGUUCUGCUCAGCUUCUUCCUCCAACUUGCUUACGCAGGCUAAGCUUAUUCUUAAUUAGUUCAUUCUUAGUUCAUUCUAUAGUCUAGUAUUAUUGUCGGUUUGGUUGUUUUAUGUUUUUCACCUGGUCAUACGGAAUCACUUCAUUAUUAUCAGUGCAGACCACACCUCUAUCCACACAUUGUACCUGCACAUCCUGUAUAUAUGGGGCCACACCCCCACUCACUGUACUGAUAUGUGGUCACACCCUCAUACAUGGUAACCCUCUUGACCACACCCCCACCCAUGCAUUGUGUCGUACAUGCUGUGUUUUUGUGUACAGUACACACAUCAUCCGUGUCUUUAUCCCCACACCUAGUCGGAGGGAGCAGCAAGUUCUACUAAGAGCCAGCAUCACCAACUAACCAACACACUACAAGACCUACCUACUACCAGCUAGGACAGCACACCACCCGGGACUUAAUACGCCUUUGUAUUACGAUCAUGAUACAAUUUGCUGCCCUCCCUCACCCAUGGAUUGAAUGAUUAUGGACACUCGCAGGACAACUAAGAGACUGACACACAAUAAUAGACACCAAAGGCAGUGUAUGUUAUUUUCUGACAGGAAAGGCUACUCUAAACAGAGGGAGUCGGCCACACAAGGUAUAGUCUAAUAAUUAUUGUACGGUACUCUCUGUUUUGGGUCAGAUGCAAUUGACUAGCCAGUUUAAAACAUUUCUUCUACUCUUGGCUUAAGAAGUUGUAUUUUAUUAUUGUACCAGCAUUAGGUAGUUAACUCCACUUAUGCAUUGACCUCUACUACUGUGUAGCGUAAAAGUUCGUUAUUUGAGCCCUCGAGAAAUGUUGUAUAGUUGUUCAUAUUUCAAUGCCAGGAAACCAUAGCUUUGCAUGGUGCGUGGGAGUUUCUUCCAUUUAUAUUACAUGAAGUGUGUUGUAAGUUUGUAUAGAGAGGACUCCCAUGGUGGCAAUGAUCUGAUGAUGGCUCCACUGCUCUGAUGGACCAAUGCAGGAGAAGUUAUUCUGUAUAAUUAUUACACUAAAUUAAUGUAUGCCACUGUUUGGAUCGGUUUCUGUUCUGCUCAGCUUCUUCCUUCAACUUGCUUACGCAGGCUAAGCUUAUUCUUAAUUAGUUCAUUCUUAGUUCAUUCUAUAGUCUAGUAUUAUUGUCGGUUUGGUUGUUUUAUGUUUUUCACCUGGUCAUAUGGAAUCACUUCAUUAUUAUCAGUGCAGACCACACCUCUAUCCACACAUUGUACCUGCACAUCCUGUGUAUAUGGGGCCACACCCCCACUCACUGUACUGAUAUGUGGUCACACCCCCAUACAUGGUAACCCUCUUGACCACACCUCCACCCAUGCAUUGUGUCGUACAUGCUGUGUUUUUGUGUACAGUACACACAUCAUCCGUGUCUUUAUCCCCACACCUAGUCGGAGGGAGCAGCAAGUUCUACUAAGAGCCAGCAUCACCAACUAACCAACACUACAAGACCUACCUACUACCAGCUAGGACAGCACACCACCCGGGACAGACUCUACUAUACCAUGUAAUACGCCUUUUUAUUACGAUCAUGAUACAAUUUGCUGCCCUCCCUUGCCCAUGGAUUGAAUAAUUAUGGACACUCGCAGGACAACUAAGAGACUGACACACAAUAAUAGACACCUAACUGCAUUUUUGCCAUUAAUAUAAUAAAAAUAAUUUUGCCAUUAA
Long non-coding RNA from Halichondria panicea, 3893 nucleotides. RefSeq lists it as uncharacterized. The record is from RefSeq and is a predicted model, not a curated record. The transcript is spliced from 5 exons. NCBI's taxonomy places the organism in Eukaryota, Metazoa, Porifera, Demospongiae, Suberitida, Halichondriidae.